GCUCCAGCCCAACCCUAGCGCAAACCCCCCAUCCCCAUCUCUUCCUCAGUUUGUCCCCUCUCUAUUCUUUCCACCGCCGCCGCCGCACCAUGGUGCUCAGCGCGCGCGCCUUCCCGCUUAUGCCGUGGGUGUGCCAGCAUGUGAAGCUGCGCAACAUCGACAGGGGGAGCUCGGUGAACUUCUCGCGUCGGCAUAGCGCGACCUCAUCCAUGGCGCCACCACCAUGGCUAUCGCUUCCACCUUCCCUGUCGUGGACCUAGGUGCUCCUCCUCCAACUCCCCUUCUCCAUUUCCUCCGCCUCUUCCCUCUCCCUUCAUCUUAUCCUCUUGACCUAGGUUCAUCACUGGCAUUGAGGUGUCCACGGGCCUCACCUGUGGAGGAGCUCCCAUGUCUGGAGGACCCAAGAGCGCAUCCUACGAGUGGAUCCGAUGGGAUCCUGAUGCGUCGACUACGGAUUUGGCUAGCCUCCACCACUUGAGCCCAGUGGCAGCGGAGAAGAUUGGGGAUGCUGCAUGUAUGUCUGUAUGGAAUCUGCACACUCUGAUCUUGCUGAUGCGGGUGAAAUAGUAAUCCAACUCCUAGGGUGAAAUGUAUAUUGUUAAGUCCAAGAUGUUGUGGAAAAAAGUCCAAGAUGCAUUCCUCAUGCGUGCCCCAGGAGGAACAUCACAGGACUAGAGGCACCAACAUCCGUGUCUCCAGGUGAUGUUGAUUAGACUUUGUUUUGAUUUGAUGAUUUUCCUGUUGCCAUUUAUAGUUUAAGGUUGGGUUGAUUAGAGGUGAUGACACCUCUGUUUUUCUUUUCCUAAAAAGCUGUAAAUGCAAAUUUUGGGCAUCCCUUCUGAUCAGUGCAAGAGGGAAAUAGAACAUGUAGUCUGGGUUGUUUAAUGAGUGGACUGCCUGCUGAACAAACUAAUUGUAGAAUUUGUUGUUGAAGGUCGUACUUUGCUAAUAAGAACCACAGAUGACAAUGCUGAUGGGUGUGUGGACAGUGUUGCUGUUACUGUAGGAGUGUAGUCGAAGAUAACUAAUCAACAAAAGGUAGGUCAAGGUGCUUUUGCCUCUAUCGGUUGCUGGAGUGAUGUUUUACAUGUAUAUGAAACCUCAUUUGUAACCGAAUUUUACUGCUCUUUUAGUUUGUCUGUGGCAUUAUAUACUAUACUCUAAUGGUAGCUGUAUAUUUUGAUGGACAUUCAGAGCUACCGACUGUAUAGUGUUUGGUAGUCAUGAAUUCUGAUUGUGAACUUUAAUUGAUGAAUAUGUAAUGUAUGGCCGGAUAACCAAAUAAUGGCUACGGCUCUGAUACAUAUAGUGAAAGAUCAUGUAAUAUAUGGUUGAACAAAACCAUAAUGGUUGCCAUGACGAUACAACUCGUGUUGUUUGUGAAUGUCUCAUGGUUUGUGCUACGUAUCAGGUGAUAUGAUAUCUUU
Long non-coding RNA from Sorghum bicolor (sorghum), 1427 nucleotides. RefSeq lists it as uncharacterized. The record is from RefSeq and is a predicted model, not a curated record. The transcript is spliced from 4 exons. Lineage: Eukaryota; Viridiplantae; Streptophyta; Magnoliopsida; Poales; Poaceae.